Molecule: ribosomal RNA, 498 nt
Filed under: uncultured bacterium
Lineage: Bacteria
Description: partial 16S ribosomal RNA
Rfam family: Bacterial small subunit ribosomal RNA
Source: RNAcentral
AUUGAACGCUGGCGGCAUGCCUUACACAUGCAAGUCGAACGGUAACAGGUCUUCGGAUGCUGACGAGUGGCGAACGGGUGAGUAAUACAUCGGAACGUGCCCGAUCGUGGGGGAUAACGAAGCGAAAGCUUUGCUAAUACCGCAUAAGAUCUACGGAUGAAAGCAGGGGACCGCAAGGCCUUGCGCGAACGGAGCGGCCGGUGGCAGAUUAGGUAGUUGGUGGGAUAAAAGCUUACCAAGCCGACGAUCUGUAGCUGGUCUGAGAGGACGACCAGCCACACUGGGACUGAGACACGGCCCAGACUCCUACGGGAGGAAGCAGUGGGGAAUUUUGAACAAUGGGCGAAAGCCUGAUCCAGCCAUGCCGCGUGCAGGAUGAAAGCCUUCGGGUUGUAAACUGCUUUUGUACGGAACGAAAAGACUCUUUCUAAUAAAGAGGGUCCAUGACGGUACCGUAAGAAUAAGCACCGGCUAACUACGUGCCAGCAGCCGCGGUAA